UUGACCUCGGAUCGGGUAGGGAUACCCGCUGAACUUAAGCAUAUCAAUAAGCGGAGGAAAAGAAACCAACAGGGAUUGCCUUAGUAACGGCGAGUGAAGCGGCAACAGCUCAAAUUUGAAAUCUGGCUCUUUCAGAGUCCGAGUUGUAAUUUGUAGAAGAUGCUUUGGGUGUGGCUCCGGUCUAAGUUCCUUGGAACAGGACGUCAUAGAGGGUGAGAAUCCCGUACGUGACUGGGUGCCUUCGCUCGUGUAAAGCUCUUUCGACGAGUCGAGUUGUUUGGGAAUGCAGCUCAAAAUGGGUGGUAAAUUUCAUCUAAAGCUAAAUAUUGGCCAGAGACCGAUAGCGCACAAGUAGAGUGAUCGAAAGAUGAAAAGCACUUUGGAAAGAGAGUUAAACAGUACGUGAAAUUGUUGAAAGGGAAGCGCUUGCAACCAGACUUGCGCGCUGUUGAUCAUCCGAGGUUUUCCCCGGUGCACUCGGCAGCGUUCAGGCCAGCAUCGGUUUUGGUGGGCGGAUAAAGGCCUUGGGAAUGUAGCUUCUUUCGGGGAGUGUUAUAGCCCUCGGUGCAAUGCGCCCUACCGGGACCGAGGACCGCG
RNAcentral lists this ribosomal RNA (597 nucleotides) under uncultured fungus. Its description in RNAcentral is "eukaryotic LSU rRNA". It matches the Rfam family "Eukaryotic large subunit ribosomal RNA", at positions 1 to 604 of the family's 3401-position model. The record is from RNAcentral. Lineage: Eukaryota; Fungi.